UCGAACGAGAAAUGAUAUUACGAUCUGUUCGGAGUGACGGUUUUAUUUCGAGUGGCGGACGGGUGAGUAACGCGUGAGCAACCUGCCCUAUACCGGGGGAUACCAGUUGGAAACGACUGUUAAUACCGCAUAAGCGCACGAUAAGACAUCUUGUUGUGUGAAAAACUCCGGUGGUAUAGGAUGGGCUCGCGUAUGAUUAGCCAGUUGGCGGGGUAAAGGCCCACCAAAGCGACGAUCAUUAGCCGACCUGAGAGGGUGACCGGCCACAUUGGGACUGAGACACGGCCCAAACUCCUACGGGAGGCAGCAGUGGGGAAUAUUGCACAAUGGGCGAAAGCCUGAUGCAGCGACGCCGCGUGAGUGAGGAAGUAUUUCGGUAUGUAAAGCUCUAUCAGCAGGGAAGAAAGAAAUGACGGUACCUGAGUAAGAAGCUCCGGCUAAAUACGUGCCAGCAGCCGCGGUAAUACGUAUGGAGCAAGCGUUAUCCGGAUUUACUGGGUGUAAAGGGAGCGUAGGCGGCAGAGCAAGUCUGAUGUGAAAGCCCGGGGCUCAACCCCGGUAGUGCAUUGGAAACUGUUCAGCUCGAGUGUCGGAGGGGUAAGCGGAAUUCCUGGUGUAGCGGUGAAAUGCGUAGAUAUCAGGAAGAACACCGGAGGCGAAGGCGGCUUACUGGACGAUUACUGACGCUGAGGCUCGAAAGCGUGGGGAGCGAACAGGAUU
Molecule: ribosomal RNA, 720 nt
Filed under: uncultured Shuttleworthella sp.
Lineage: Bacteria; Bacillati; Bacillota; Clostridia; Lachnospirales; Lachnospiraceae
Description: bacterial SSU rRNA
Rfam family: Bacterial small subunit ribosomal RNA
Source: RNAcentral